GAAAAUGAAAAUUUUAGAGCUGCUAACUCUAAAAAUUGCUCGUUGUAACAUUUUCU
RNAcentral lists this transfer RNA (56 nucleotides) under Pollicipes pollicipes. RNAcentral describes it as "tRNA-Ser". The record is from RNAcentral. Lineage: Eukaryota; Metazoa; Arthropoda; Thecostraca; Pollicipedomorpha; Pollicipedidae.